GCUGCUGCUUUCUACAUUAUCGCAACUGCCAGAGCUCUUAGUGCUGCAGUUUUCUAGUCGCAGUGCGGCAAAGCAGACGCAUAGAACUAGGCACAAAGCAACAUCGAUGUUUUUUAUUCUUCAUUCUUUUUUGUAUGAGGGAAAUUUACUUUUGUUAGCAUAAGAGCAGACGUACAGCCUGGAUGUGCACGUUGGCUUCGUUUUCAGCUGAGCAGCUACUGCUCAGAGCCUGAUACCCAAAUUGCCUCUGAUGAAGAACAACUGGUUUCCCACCUUGUGUACGAUUAGUUUCUUACACCACGGUGAUAUACCUGCAAGAACAGGACAAAGGAGGCGGCACUUCUUACUAUCUGAUUGGGGCCUUUGCAGCCACUUGACUGCUGAAGCUGUCUAAACGAGCUAAGGGUGACAUAAUAUUGGCAUUAUAGAUUGAUGUAAGAAACCGUAGCAGUUAGAGCAAAGCUCAAACAAGAAACCAGACUCACUGACCUAAAUCAAUCCCAGUCCUUGUGGAUACAGGGCAGCAGUCGACUAGCAAUGACACAACCAGCCAUCAAGUGGAGAGUCUCUGGGAUUGCAAUCUGUGUCACUUGGAGCCUGUGAGAAUGAAACACUCCACUUUCGGUUAUUCAGUUGCUUUUCCUUUUUCUUUCUUUCCCUGUAAACAGCUAUUAAUUGUGCUUGGUCUCUAAGUGUAUAUUUGUAUGGAUUAGUCUUGUCUGUAUUGCAGUCCUUAUCUGCUCUUGCUGGAAAUCAGGGUAGUAAGUCAGUCUGCUUUAACAGUUGUUUCUUUCUGCGUGAUGCUAUGCAGCUAGAAUGGGUUACACUGACAACAAAGGAAGGAAGCACAAAGCAUCACUUUAUCUUCUGGGCUGUUACAGGAACAUAACUCUUUUUUUUCGAUAUGAUGCCGCCCUCUCCUUCUUUUCUGUUGUUUUUUUUUUAAUUCAUCUAAUCGAAGAGCCUAACAGACAAUCAUCAUGGAUGUGGUUUUUAAUGAUUUGGAAAAAGACAGCCUGUGGAGACUGUGAUUUGAGACAGCAACACAUUUAGGUUAUUGCCAAUUUGAAAUACUUGGUUUGUGAAGCAGAGCCCUAAGGGACAAGCUCAGUAACUGAGAGAAAGAUCGUAGAUAAAGAAAUAAAAAUGACAAGCGUAAUGGAGGUUCUGCAAAAGAGACUGUCAGAGAAUCAGUUCAUGGAUGGCAAUUUCACCAGUCUGAAACUGAAUAAUUCAUAGAAUGAAAUUACCCUGCUUUCACCUUUCCAUUUAAAUCGGCAUGAUCUGAAUCUCUAAUAAAUUUUCAAGAUAAAGUAAAAUGCCAAUUUGAACCUGAAGAGCUUUUAAAACCAGAUGCUACAUUCUGAAUCUUUCGUUACCUUUCACAAUUUUCCUGUGAGAAUCGCACUUCAUCACGAAGCACCAUUACCAGUGAAAAUUACUGUGAUUACAAUAGCAACAAUAGCAUAUCAUCAGAUGAUCUCUAAUUUUCCUAAUUUGCUAAGGCUGACGGUGUGGUUUUAAUGCCCAUCGUGUGUCAUCAUGUCUGGUAUGGAUCAGUAUCACACUGGAGCAAAAAUGUCUUAGUAUAUGCUUCAUUCUUCGGUCUGUUUUAUCAUCAGAAGAUAUUUUUGGAUGAUAAGAAGAAGCUACAAUCCUGCUCCAAGCCACAGCUCAGCACCUCCACUCCAAAAACUGUUCCACUGCCACAGCUAAAGGUUAUGAGUCAUCCCUGCCAUGGGGAGACAAUGUCCACUCAGGCUCCCUACCGCAAGUGAGCGUCUUUGAUGGAAGUGCUGGAGUCCUGCAGGGUUCCACUGAAUAUUUCAGCGCUGGGAAUUCAGGGUGGAGGAUCCCCAGAAAGAGACCUCAGAGCCCUGUCCCAGGAAAAGGCAGCAGAGAGAUCCUCCAAGCUGCACGGAUCCAGUCAAAGCCCAGCAGGUUCAUAUAAAAGGAGCUGCAAGGCCAGAGUGAAUUCAGUCUGCUGGCAGGGACUGGGGGAGUAAGAGGUGCUCCUGGCUGACUGCAGGAGCUGAACUGAUAUUGACCCCCACUUUUCAGCUAGAUCUGAGGACUAAAGGCCAGGCAAAGAGCUUCUGGGGAGGAAACCUGGGGGUGCUGCUCCAUUCCCAGGGCAGAAACCUUUAUCUGUAUUGGUAAAGCCCCUAUUGGUUUUACUGAGGAUUGAGCCCAGAGAGGGUGACAGAGACAUUGCCAGCAGAGGGCUACCAUGAUGGGCCUGGUUGGCCUGUUAAAACACUGAGCCCACAGAGGGCUGCAAGACAUGUUGGGACUUAUACCCUGCAAGGGGUAGGUUUGUUUUGCACAUGGACUGUAUGUGACUUGGCUGGAGAAAUAAGCAACUAAAUACCUGACUAUGCACAGCGGCCAACAGGAGGCACAUCAAUUAGAGAAAUGGAGAAACAACUGCAGCCACCCACACACACUCAACCACAGAAUGCUCACAUGAGAUACACGCAACCCAUCCUAGGUUAUCAGUUUAAGGAAAUGAUACAUCAGGAGUCACACCACGCUCUCAGCAACAUACCUAUCUGUUGCAGACAGUCUCAGGUGGGAUUUCUCUUCUGAAUGAAAUCUACACUCCAGGGGAAAGCUACCCUCAAACCAUUUGCCUCUCCUAUAAAUAAAAUGUUCAUUCUGUUUUGCUUCAGAGCAGCACUAGGCCAAGAUUCCAGGAGCAAUGUUCUUCUCUUAUCCUGAACCUUUCUUCCCAUCACAACGACAGGUCCGGCAGAAGAUCCAUCCUGAUAAAGCUUGAUUCAUUCUCAUAAUACCCAACUGACCCAGAUAGUUAUGGCUUCUGGGCCUUUUAUGAAUGGGAGCCUGUCCUCCCAUCAGUUCUAGUCACUCAGGAGAAUGGCAUGAUCAGCCAUUUCAACUCAGGGCUUCUUCAACUCACAAUCUAUUAUUUGGGUGGGCCUCAGACCUAGAAAGUGCAUGUUCAAAGACCAUUCAAACUGUUCUCAAAGACAGCAGAGAGGAUUCUACCAGAAGACUACCCAGCUAAAUGGAAGCAUUGUUCUACCUGGAAGCAACAGACCCACUUAUCCUCAGAAAUAUUAGGACUAUCCACUGAGGUAACUCAGAAUCAAGGCUGGAAGUCUGCUACGGAUUCCUUGAUGUUCCGGGACCUACAAGACUUCUGCAGUGACUAGUGCGUGACUGACCUCAGGACUGCCUGAGCAGCUUGGAAGGCCCACAGGCCCCACUGGCAGCUCAUGGAUAUUAUCUUGCCAUUUUUUAUUCCUGGACAUUAGCUGUUUGAUUAAAGUGGAAAGAUAAGAAUUUUACAGAUUUGUAAAGAGAAUUAUCUAUGCAAUAAAACUCUGUUCCAAAAAGCACCUUCAAAAAGGAGCCAGCAUUUGCCAUAUCUAAAAGAACACAGGUCUCACAGUCUCACCCUGUCUUGCAGUCACAGAAACCAAAAGCUACAGAGGACAACACAGAGGAGCUGAGACUGACCCCUGAAGCGAAUAGGCAACUGACACUGGAAAGAUAUCAAAGCUACACUGACUCUGUUGGUGGCACUGUGACCUUAUGCAGCAAAUGAAGAUGUUGGUGAUUUUUUUCAAUAAUGCAUCUACAACACUGGAAAAGCAUAUGAUUGUUUUUCCUGAAAAAGCAACAUAUUAAUACUGUAAAUCUGUCUGGUUUCCGUCAGGACAACAUUAGUGUCACUGAAAGAAAAGGAAUACAGUGCUGUCUGGAUGGCAUGAUUUCUCAAAGGGGACAUUAUAAACAAUGAGUAUUUAUGAAUGGACACCACUUGGAAAGAGAGACUAGAAGUAUGGAAGGGAAAGGAAUACAGGAAAGAAUUGGGCACAUUCAAAGGAAGAUUGAAGAAAAUUAAAAAGAAAAAAAAAUAGAACUAACAUGCUGUUUGCUGCCAUUUAUCUGUACAUAUCUCGGUCCUGUCUUUGGAUUAAGUACUUCGGGGCAGGGACUGCAUACUACUGUGUCUUGGUACAGUGAAUUGUACAAUGAGCCUUACUCUUAUUUAUCCAUGGUAAUAAACAUUACUACAAUAUUUUUAGAUAGGGAUUGUUCAUUUCAUUUUAUUUUAAAUGUAUUUCUCCUGUAGGAAAGAAUUGAUCCAAGCUGUUCUGUGCCCAUC
Pelodiscus sinensis (Chinese soft-shelled turtle) is the source of this 4135-nucleotide non-coding RNA. Lineage: Eukaryota; Metazoa; Chordata; Testudines; Trionychidae. The record is from RefSeq and is a predicted model, not a curated record.